AGUGCACUCCGACCCCUCUGCACACAGGAAUUCGUCCCGUCACCUCUGUGUACCAUCCAUAACCCUAAAAGACGGGCCUGUCAUCUUAUCUGGCAAGUGGGGUUUUAGCAGCCCCUUCAUUAAGCCCGGAGAACAAAGGCGGCUGGAUAAGCAAACUAAGGCUUGGAGAGCUGAGAGCUGAGAUCACAGGCCCAGGCUGUAAGAGGGAAGGUGGGACCAGAAAGAAUCCACAUUGCUCUCACCACCUCAAGAACUCUGAGGGCUGUGCUCACCGCUGUUCUGAAGCAUCACUUCCGCUCUGAAGAUCAGGGCAGCCCGAUUUCCCACGCGAGAGCGGAUAGGGCUGCCCCUGGGAUCUGAGCCAUGUCUGUGACCUACCCCACAGCUCACGACCAUGCUGGAUCCUUAACCAACUGAGCAAGGAGAGGGAUCGAACCCUCACCCUCCUGGAUACUAGUUGGGUUCAUUACUGCCGAGCCACGACAGGAACUCCUCUUUAGUUCUUGUUUUAUUCAUUCAUUCAUUCAUUCAUUCAUUUACUUAUUUAUUAUGGCCCCAGAGUGGCUUAUGGAAGUUCCUCGGCCAGGGGCCUGAAUCCACAGCCACUCCAGAUCCUUUAACCCACUGCUCCGGGAUGGGAAUUGAACCCACGCCUCUGCAGUGACUGGAGCUGCUGUAGUCGGAUUCUUAACCCACUGUGUCACAGCAGGAACUCCUUGUUUCCUUGAUUUAAGUCCUCUUGUCUCCCCUCAUGACCGGCAGAGCUCUUCCUCCUGCUGCCCUGACCUGCUUCGAGGUCAGACGCUAUGACACCUCCUCCAGGAAGCCCUUCCUGGUUUCCACUGCCUGCGGAGACCCCAGUCUUCGGAGAGUCCCAGAGCCUGCCUCUCAGAGCCUCUCGUCUGGCUUUCAGGGUGCAAAGCCCCUCCUCCCGCAGGUGCCAUGUCCCCACAGGGCACUCCCGCCCAGUUCAGCCUCCGCCCUGGCCCCUUUGAGACUCCCCAGCACCAGCAGGACAAAUCACCCUCUUCUCUGGGCUAGGCUGGGCCUUUGGGUUUGUUCUGUUGCCCCCUCGUUCCGCAUCUGCCUCCUGCGGGCUGGUCAUCACGCAGACGGGAUUGAAGAAGGCAUGUCCCCCCGGCCUCCCUCUCAGGGUGGAGCAGCCAUCAUUCCUGGUGCUCAGCUGCCCGGAAGUCUCCCUUUCAUCCUCGUGAUGGUUAAUUUCCGUGUCCACUUGCCUGGGCUAAGGGAUGUCCAGACAGCUGGUCACACAUCACUUCUGGGUGUGUCUGUGUGGAAGGUUCCAGAAGAGAGGAGCACUGGAAUCGAUGGACUGAGUGAAGAAGUAGAUGGGCAUCACCCGUUCCCCGAGGACGCAAACAGAACAUAAAGAUGAGCCACGUGCUCUCUGAGCUGGGACCUCCGCCUUCUGCUUUUGGGCAUCACGCUUCUAAGCUCCGCAGAACUUUAGACCCAGACUGAAUUCUACCACCCACUUUCCUGCUUCUCCAGCUUGCAGAUGACAGACUGCGGGGGUUUGGAGCCUCAUAAUUGCAGGAACUAAUUCUUGUACUAAAUGUAUAUAAAAUGUAUGUUUAUAUAGAAAA
RNAcentral lists this long non-coding RNA (1607 nucleotides) under Sus scrofa (pig). Its description in RNAcentral is "lncRNA (ENSSSCG00040056584.1)". Lineage: Eukaryota; Metazoa; Chordata; Mammalia; Artiodactyla; Suidae. The record is from RNAcentral.